This is a non-coding RNA of Ictidomys tridecemlineatus (thirteen-lined ground squirrel), 1751 nucleotides long. NCBI's taxonomy places the organism in Eukaryota, Metazoa, Chordata, Mammalia, Rodentia, Sciuridae. The record is from RefSeq and is a predicted model, not a curated record.
ACCGCUUACCUUGACAGAGAAACUCUUUCUGGGUCUGCUGCCAGCCACGUCUCCUCCUCCUGACUUUGCUCGGGCUGCCUUUUCCCAGAACUCCAGCUGUUUCAGACCCCAGGAUCCCUGCAUGUGCUGUGACCCUGCCUGACAGGGUCUUGUUAAGCUGCUCAGGCUGGACUCACACUUGCCUCCUCCCAGGGGAGUUCCCAAGUCACAGGAUCACAGGUGCGUGCCGAGCUUUUUUAAAAAAUAUUCUAUUAUUGUUUUAAAUUUUUUUCUUAGUUGUAGUUGGACACAAUACCUUUAUUUUAUUUUUAUGGGGUGCUAAGGAUCGAACCCAGCGCCAGUACCAAGCUUCUUAAAGGCAGAGACAAGCCUACUUGUCCUGGGGCAGGUCAGCUCCCCACCUAGGAGCCAAUGAAGGCUCAGGAAAUGCUAAUCAGUCUGAUGUCAGAGUGCCUGAGACCUCGGUGUCCACCAUGGAGAUGCACCUGUCCUCCCCCACCUCCCCGUCCCCUGGCACUGGGCCAUGAGCCGCUCCUUCCAGGCUGCCCCCCCUCACCUCAGCUGCGGUUUCCCUUUCCUACCUGGGGGAACCAGGUUUGAAAGACCCAGGAAGUAGUGGGGUCUGCCUCCCCACACUGAAGAAGUCGGGUGCUCCUAGGCUCCCAGGACUGAAGAGAGGAGGCCGCCGUGGGGACAGAGACCCCUGGUGGCAGCUGGCCACAGUGUGCCUGGAGGGUGGGUUUUCUCUGCGUCCUGGGGAUGUAUGGUGCGAAUGUGAGCCUGGAUGCGGAAGACCCACACCUGCACUGAGGCUGCUGCCUCUGAAGCAGAAUCUCGAGGUUUUCUCGCGGUGCACACUGGGCAUCCACUUGGAGCUUGGACGUCUGGGACCUCCGUGAACAAGGAGCCACAGCAUGAAGGCUGUCCCCUUCAGCCACACCUGAGAGAAGCCCAGUGCUGUCCUUGGUACUGAGGAGAGAGGGAGGUUCUGGGAGGCCACAUUGCUCCUGAUGGGAAAGCCAGGCCAGACCCACCUGGCUACUCUAACUAGUGAGCAGAGCACACAGGGAGUGGGGUGGGUGUGGCCACAGGAGUCUGGGAGGGGUGGCCUAUUCUCAUUUAGAUUUCCCUGAGUGGGGCCGGCCACAUCCCAACAGGCCAUCAGCUGUGCCCACAGUCCUGGGGAUGCCUUUGGUCCUCUCCUCCUAGGGCCUUGGCCAGGGUGCUGUGACGCAGGAACACACAGGCAUGUGGGGGAAGCAGAGAGGAGAGGGGGCUCCACUGAUGGGAACCCCACAAGAGAAGUGGGGCCAUGGCUCCCGGCCUCCAGGAUCAGCUGCUGCCUGACAGUGAUGGAGAGCCAAGAACACAGAGGGUGAUAGAUAACAAGGGUGAACCAGGAAGUGGAGGAUCGGAUACUCACACUGCUGAUGGGAAUGUGAAAUGGCGCAGCCACUGCAAAGCCACCUGGAAGUUCCUACAAAGCCUCAGGGAGGGCCCACAGGACCCAGGCGUUCUCCUCCUACGUUGUGCUCCAGGGAUAUAAGAAACACGUCCACUUAUGAGAUAUCUUGUGCCAGGAUCCUCACUGCAGCCAAAUACGGUGAACAACUCACAAGUCUAACGACUGAUGAAUGGGUACACACAGUGUGGUACAUUCACCACAGCUGCACUGUCACAUGGAAAAGGAAAUCAGUCUUGGGCUGGGGCCGGGGCUCAGUGGUAGAGUGCUUGCCUAGCAUGUGUGAGGC